CUUCUUCUUCUUCUUCUUCUUUAUUUAAGGUAAUUGUUUUGGUUCAGGAAAUAUGCCUGGAAGUUUAGAGCCUUUGGAUUUAAGUGUUCAGAUACCUUAUCAUUUCAGGUGUCCGAUCUCGCUUGAGCUCAUGCGUGACCCUGUCACCGUUAGUACCGGUCAGACCUACGACCGCUCCAGUAUCGAAUCUUGGGUUGCUACCGGUAACACUACUUGUCCGGUCACUCGGUCUCCUCUCACCGAUUUCACUCUCAUCCCUAACCAUACUCUUCGCCGGUUAAUCCAGGACUGGUGUGUCGCUAACCGUGCUUUUGGUAUUGAACGCAUCCCCACCCCGAAACAGCCGGCGGAGCCCAGUUUGGUUAGGUCUUUGUUGAACCAGGCUGCGUCUGAGUCUAAUCCUUAUCAGUCUCGUCUCUCUGCUCUCCGUCGACUCAGAGGACUCGCUCGUGACUCGGAUAAGAACAGGUCUGUUAUUUCUUCUCAUAACGCACGAGAAAUAUUCGUUAACCUUCUUUUUGAGAACGUUGCGAAUUCUAAUUCGACGGAUUUGAACCACGAGGCUUUGGCACUUCUGGUUAUGUUUCCGCUCACUGAGUCAGAGUGUGUGUGCAUAGCUUCAGACUCGGAGAGAAUGAUCUACUUAGCGAAUCUCUUGUCUAAUUCAUCAAUCGAAGUCCGAGUCAACUCGGCUGCACUCAUUGAAAUCGUGGUUGCCGGAACAAAAUCCUCAGAUCUUCGCGCUCAAAUCAGCAACGUAGACGAAAUCUUCGAAGGAGUAAUUGAAAUGCUAAAGAACCCUAUCUCUUAUCCUCGUGCUCUCAAGAUUGGCAUAAAAGCACUAUUCGCCUUGUGCCUCGCGAAGCAGACCAGGCACAAAGCUAUUUCCGCGG
RNAcentral lists this unclassified non-coding RNA (893 nucleotides) under Hevea brasiliensis (rubber tree). The record is from RNAcentral. Lineage: Eukaryota; Viridiplantae; Streptophyta; Magnoliopsida; Malpighiales; Euphorbiaceae.